Molecule: long non-coding RNA, 1579 nt
Organism: Heterocephalus glaber (naked mole-rat)
Lineage: Eukaryota; Metazoa; Chordata; Mammalia; Rodentia; Bathyergidae
Source: RefSeq, a predicted model, not a curated record
UCUAAAAUAUGUAUCUGAAAGUGGAAUUUGGAUAGAUAUUGCCAAAUGUGCUCCCCAGAGGCCUGUAGGGUAUAAAAGGACACAUUUUCCUCAUGCCUUUUCCAUCCCUGGAUAUUAUCAAUCUUUUUAAGUUUUGCUUUUGUAAUUAGUAACAAUGAAAUUGUUUUCUUGAGUACUCAUGUGGGCGAAGAUCAUUUUGUACUAAUCCCCCAUUAUUCAAGGGCAAUACAGUCUUAAACCCUCCUGUGGAUUCCUGCAACCAUGAAUAGCCCCGAACCUACAUAUAUUAUGUUUUUUUCUACCCAUAUGUACUUAUAUAAAGUUUAAGUUCUAAGUUAGGUACAGUUAGAAAUUAACAAUAAUUAAUAAUACUUUAGAAGGAUUACAAAAAAUAUGCUGGGAUAAGAGUGAGGUUAACCUUCUAUCUCUACCUCUAAACAAAUUUUGUUGCACUAUUUUCCUUGUUCUUCUUUGCUUGAUGAUGAUGAUGAUGAUGAUGUGACAUGGUAUAAUGACUAUGUAAUGAAAUGUAUUCAGGCAAGUACAUUAGGGUUAUUUGAACACAAGCACUGUGAUACCUGACAGUAAUGUGAUUGCUAAAAUGACUACUAAGUGAUUAAUAGGUGGGUAGCAAUACAGUGUGGAUACAUUGGACAAAGGGAUGGCUAAUAUCCUGGACAGGAUGGAGUGGAAUAAUGUGAGAUUUCAUCACACUACUCAGAAUGACAUGUGAUUGCAAGCUUAUAUAUUGCUUAUUUUUGGAAUAUUUCAUUUAACACCUUUAGCUCAUAGUUGUUCACAAGUAGUGGAAACUGAGAAAGUAUAUCAUGAACAAAGAUUAAUAACUGUUUUUAUUGACCAAUGUUAGUAUUUAUUUUCUUUGAAUUGGUUGUGUAAGUUUCCCAUUUUUAUAUCUUAAAUGUAUUAAGUGGUUACCUCUUUUCAUAUUUCUCCUUUGAUAUGUAUAUAUAGAUAUAUAGAUAGAUACAUCUUUAUAUAGAUAUAACUAUAUAUAUCAUGUAUUUUGCCAAUGGUCUCUCAAAUAUCUAGAUUUCUCCAUGUAUUCACAAUUUCUUCUUCUGUGUUUUACUAUAGAUGACCUUCCCUCCAUCAAGAAUGGAUUGAACUUGGGUCCUUGAGCUUGCGCAGCAGGCGGCGAAACCACUGAGCUAAAUCCCCGGCCCCUAAUUGGAUUCUUUUCUAAGAAAAUCAACAUAAAGUGGUUUAUAAAUUUCAACACAAGAAUUUUAAAAGAAAAAAUAAGAAAAAGGAGUGAGUAUGCACAGGCUGUCUGAGGUAGAGAGCUGCAUGCCUGAGAAGAUCAUCAUACCACACCUGAGUUUUCUACUCUUCAUUCCCAGGACUUUUGCAUUGUCUGAUGACUUCCACUAACAUAGAUGGAGGAUGUGCAACCUGUUUCAGUGGGACACUGAAAGCCCUGCCUGUGGUGCUUUGAAUUCUGGCUUGAGUUCGGGCAGCUGAAAACAUAAGAAAUAAGAAGGCCUUUUCAGAAGAGCAGAGAGUGGCCUUGAGAAAAUCCCUGUCAUAUGCUCUCUGGGAUUUGGACUUAAAUCCUAAU